AUGAUUAUUUUCUUUGUGGUAUUCAGUAUUGAUCUUUAUGAAUUUUAUGUAAUUCCUUUCUGUUCUUAAUAUAAUGAGGGGGAGUUCAUAUUAAGGGGGAAAUUUUUUCUUUUUGCUUAUGAUCAAAAAGGGGGAGAAGAAAUAUUAAGGGAGAAUUAAGGGGAGAAAUAUUUUUCAAUUGUACAGGUACUGCUAACUCUGUGGUUGUCCAUUAGCUUAUAUGUGUUGCAGGUAAAGCUGAGUUGCUUUUAAAAAGAGAGUUUUUGAUCAUCAUCAAAAAGGGGGAGAUUGUUACCAAUAAGGAGUAUUGGUAAAACCUGAAGAUGAGUUUUGAUGAUGCUGCAACUUGUAGAUUUUGAAUGUAGUAGGAAAAUAUUUAAAAAGCAACUUGUAGAUUUUGAAUGUAGUAGGAA
Molecule: long non-coding RNA, 413 nt
Filed under: Vigna radiata
Lineage: Eukaryota; Viridiplantae; Streptophyta; Magnoliopsida; Fabales; Fabaceae
Description: long non-coding RNA (VRAD_LNC005378)
Source: RNAcentral